RNAcentral lists this ribosomal RNA (433 nucleotides) under uncultured bacterium. RNAcentral's name for it is "partial 16S ribosomal RNA". It matches the Rfam family "Bacterial small subunit ribosomal RNA", at positions 29 to 507 of the family's 1533-position model. The record is from RNAcentral.
AACGAACGCUGGCGGCAUGCCUAACACAUGCAAGUCGAACGAGACCUUCGGGUCUAGUGGCGCACGGGUGCGUAACGCGUGGGAACCUGCCCUUAGGUUCGGAAUAACUCCCCGAAAGGGGUGCUAAUACCGGAUAAUGUCUUCGGACCAAAGAUUUAUCGCCUUUGGAUGGGCCCGCGUUGGAUUAGCUAGUUGGUAGGGUAAAAGCCUACCAAGGCGACGAUCCAUAGCUGGUUUGAGAGGAUGAUCAGCCACACUGGGACUGAGACACGGCCCAGAAUCCUACGGGAGGCAGCAGUGGGGAAUAUUGGACAAUGGGCGAAAGCCUGAUCCAGCAAUGCCGCGUGAGUGAUGAAGGCCUUAGGGUUGUAAAGCUCUUUUACCCGGGAUGAUAAUGACAGUACCGGGAGAAUAAGCUCCGGCUAACUCCGUG